CGUCCCGGGGGCGUGGUCACGGCGGCGGCGCGCAAGGAGGAGGAGCCUGACCUGGGCCGGCGGGGCUUCGGUCGCGGGUCUGACUAUGUCUGCUCGGCUGGAGCUGGAUCCGCGGUCAGCCGAGGCCGGUAGGCCGCACCCUGCGCCUCCGCCGUGACCCGACCCUCUGCGCGGGUGACUUAGGGCUCGUCUCGCGAGGCUGUCCUCAUGGGUGUGAAGUGGCCCUGAUUUGCAUCUCCCUAAUGACUGAGACACUGAUUUAUGGAUUUUUCCAGAGGCCCAUUUACUCAAGCAGAGCCAACUGUUGAGACACAGCACCUGUCACUGAAGGGUGGGGGUCUGUUGGCCCGGGUGGCCUGGGCUGGCCGGCAUUUCCCGCCCCCAGGCAGGGGCCUGUCCUGAGCAGGCUUGCCUCUGGCGGACUCAUGCUCUCAAGCUCCCGCUGCACCUACCUACCGUCAAUCAUCACGUGGUAAGAACUGACUCAGUCACGCCUGCAGCGAAGAUGAGGCCCUGUGCUCCAGGAGCUGACCGAUGCCCGGACAAGCAGAAAUAGACACACGGGCAGGUGCAGACCUCCCCUGGUGCUUCUGGAAGCCUGGGCGAGAUCUAGCUGCAAGGGCUCCCGAAGCUUCUUUGCCCCAUCUGGACCUGGAAACGGGCUGAUUUUUUAAAACCAAGAUUCUUGGCAUAUUUGGACACAAUGAAUACUGUGCCUUUCAUAUUUUCUUUGUAUUUCUCCAUAGUUGCUUGACCCAACAUCUGUCUGCUCUAUACAAUGAAAAUACAAACUAAAUGAGAAUAGAAAAAAAUAAUUAAAGCAUUAAAUUGUACAAAUUACAAAUCUGUUCCAAAAUAUACUUACAUUAAAUAAAAUACGCAUUUCAGUUAAGAGAUCUACAGUGAAUGACUCUGCAUUCUGGGAAGCUUCACGACACCUAGGCAGGGCCGACAUUCGUGGGAGGAGCUAAGAGACUUCGCACCAAUCACAGUCUGUUUGUAGCGGGUUUCUGACGGCCAAUCUGCGGGCUACACUGAGCGUCAGCAUCACCUGCGCGGGACUGACGGGGGAGGGGAGAAGCAGCUCUAGCCUCGACGCUGAGUUCAUUCUCAUCAACAGCCUAUACAGUACAGUUUCAAAAAAGUAAACAUGUUAAGGGAAGCAGACAACUCUUUAGAACCCCAGACACAUUUUCUGGCUGUAUUUAUGUGGAACUCUCCGGCUACAAUGGGCGGUCGUAAAGAGGUUCUUCCUCAGGACAACACGGUCACAGGACCCGGACGAGCCGGCGGGACUGAGGGGAGCCGAGGAUCGGGGAGAGGCUCCUCUGGUUGCGGGUGGAGCCCAUCUUUUCACGCACAGUCCGCGGCCCUGCAGUCCUCUCCCCGUAUCAUCUGGCGUAGCGCUUAAUGUAGUCCUCCACUUUAUUCCGGAAGUCCUCCUGCGGGGCGGGGAUCAGGGCCAUGAGUCAUGGGGGAGCGACUCUCUGGGAACAACUGAGGCUCCCCCGAGCCAAGGGCCCCCGUGAACUCUGGGGAGUGUGUGGAAGGCCCAGCCUCAUCCCCAGUAGCCAAGGGGCAGGGUGCGCAGAGACCCACGGGCAGAGUGCUGCCUCCCUGCCACUCGGGGUGCCGGGGUGGGGAUGCCAACACACUCUGGGCAUAAGGGAACAGAAGACCCUUAAUUCUGCAGAUGGGAGAAAUGCCCAGUGCGGUCAAGGUCCCCACGUUGGUCAGGCCAGUGCUCUGGACUGCAAACGGGUCCCGGCUGCUGCUCUCGGAAAGGUUCUGUGUCCAGAUCCGUCUUCCCGGGAUCCUGCUACCUACGAC
Bos taurus (domestic cattle) is the source of this 1830-nucleotide long non-coding RNA. NCBI's taxonomy places the organism in Eukaryota, Metazoa, Chordata, Mammalia, Artiodactyla, Bovidae. The record is from Ensembl.